RNAcentral lists this ribosomal RNA (492 nucleotides) under uncultured bacterium. Its description in RNAcentral is "partial 16S ribosomal RNA". It matches the Rfam family "Bacterial small subunit ribosomal RNA", at positions 29 to 507 of the family's 1533-position model. The record is from RNAcentral.
AGUGAACGCUGGCGGUAGGCCUAACACAUGCAAGUCGAACGGCAGCACACUAAGAGCUUGCUCUUACGGGUGGCGAGUGGCGGACGGGUGAGGAAUACAUCGGAAUCUACUUUUUCGUGGGGGUUAACGUAGGGAAACUUACGCUAAUACCGCAUCCGCCCUACGGGUGAAAGCAGGGGAUCUUCGGACCCUGCGCGAUUGAAUGAGCCGAUGUCGGAUUAGCUAGUUGGCGGGGUAAAGGCCCACCAAGGCGACGAUCCGUAGCUGGUCUGAGAGGAUGAUCAGCCACACUGGAACUGAGACACGGUCCAGACUCCUACGGGAGGCAGCAGUGGGGAAUAUUGGACAAUGGGCGCAAGCCUGAUCCAGCCAUACCGCGUGGGUGAAGAAGGCCUUCGGGUUGUAAAGCCCUUUUGUUGGGAAAGAAAAGCAGCAGGUUAAUACCCCGCUGUUCUGACGGUACCCAAAGAAUAAGCACCGGCUAACUUCGUG